RNAcentral lists this ribosomal RNA (465 nucleotides) under uncultured bacterium. Its description in RNAcentral is "partial 16S ribosomal RNA". It matches the Rfam family "Bacterial small subunit ribosomal RNA", at positions 338 to 795 of the family's 1533-position model. The record is from RNAcentral.
CCUACGGGAGGCAGCAGUAGGGAAUUUUCGUCAAUGGGCGCAAGCCUGAACGAGCGAUGCCGCGUGAGUGAAGAAGGCCUUCGGGUCGUAAAGCUCUGUUGCGGGGGAAAAAAGGCAGCAUCAGGAAAUGGGUGCUGACUGAUGGUGCCCCGCCAGAAAGUCACGGCUAAAUACGUGCGAGCAGCCGCGGUAAUACGUAGGUGGCGAGCGUUGUCCGGAAUGGUUGGGCGUAAGGGGUGCGCAGGCGGUCCUGCAAGUCUGGAGUGAAACGCAUGGGCUCAACUCAUGCAUGGCUUUGGAAACUGGAGGACUGGAGAGUAGGAGAGGGCGGUGGAACUCCAUGUGUAGCGGUAAAAUGCGUAGAUAUAUGGAAGAACACCAGUGGCGAAGGCGGCCGCCUGGCCUGUUGCUGACGCUGAGGCACGAAAGCGUGGGGAGCAAAUAGGAUUAGAUACCCUGGUAGUC